This is a long non-coding RNA of Mastomys coucha (southern multimammate mouse), 489 nucleotides long. RefSeq lists it as uncharacterized. The record is from RefSeq and is a predicted model, not a curated record. The transcript has 3 exons. Lineage: Eukaryota; Metazoa; Chordata; Mammalia; Rodentia; Muridae.
CUGGAAACAACCCAGAGGCCUUUCAAUGGAAGAAUUGAUACAGAAAAUGUGGUACAUUAAGCAACAGAAUACUACUCAGCUAUUAAAAUUGAUGACUUCACAAAUUUUGUAGAUUUAAUAUUAUUGCCACCUUUAACAUAAAGCCUCCUUGAAACUCCCAGGUCCUAUACAUUGAUAUUGAAAGGUUCAAUUCUGGGGACUGGAUUCCAUCCAAUUGAAUUGACCAAAAGGAUCGUGUGGCAAUCUCCAAACAACCCAGGCUGUUGCCAAGACAAUAGGAUAUUCUAUACCCAACACAACCAAAAAGCCUUCCAUCCACAAUCUAUCUUGAAUAAUAUGCUAAGGCAAUAGUGACACAAACCUUCUGACAGUAACCAAUUGAAAUCAGAUUUGAUUUAAGGCCCACCCCUUGAGAUAGAACCCACACUUGACACUACUUAGAGGACGUUGUUCAAAGCAGGUAUUAAUUUUCUACUUGCUAGUAUUUAA